RNAcentral lists this RNase P RNA (399 nucleotides) under Lactococcus lactis. RNAcentral describes it as "bacterial RNase P". It matches the Rfam family "Bacterial RNase P class B". From Rfam's summary of the family: Ribonuclease P (RNase P) is a ubiquitous endoribonuclease, found in archaea, bacteria and eukarya as well as chloroplasts and mitochondria. Its best characterised activity is the generation of mature 5'-ends of tRNAs by cleaving the 5'-leader elements of precursor-tRNAs. Cellular RNase Ps are ribonucleoproteins. The record is from RNAcentral. RNAcentral also lists the same sequence under 4 other names. Lineage: Bacteria; Bacillati; Bacillota; Bacilli; Lactobacillales; Streptococcaceae.
AACAGUUUUCGGAUAAUCGCGCGAUUUUUUUGUAAAUCGUGAGGAAAGUCCAUGCUCGCGCGUUGCUGAGAUGCACGCAGUGAUUGUGCUAGGUCAAACAAUAAACCUAGGUAGGAGCGUCAUGCCUAACGGCUGGCCAAAACGCUAAGUCUUUUGAUAUGCGUGAGUAGCCUGUAAAAGUGCCAUAGAGACGAGUCUUAGAGGAAACUCUAAGAAUGGAACGUGGUAAACCCCUCAAGCGAGCAACCCAAACUUAUGGUCGGGGCACUUGACUAGCCAAAAUGAAGGCGUGGUCGAGGCUGAAAUUAAGAAUUUUGGCAGACAGAUGAUUAUCGAAGGGGAGAUUCACGAAUGUGAAUUGAACUGGAACAAAACAUGGCUUAUAGAAAACUGUAUGAC